CCCACAUGCCAUCUGAUGUCCAUUAGAAUUUCUAGGCAUGGAAUAGGAAGGAGAGUCCUUCUUUUGGAAGAAAUUUGAAUGCCAAAUAAGAAUGGGAUGCCACAUAUUUUUGGUAUUUAUGGAAGAGUCUUAAAUGUUAAGAACUCUUGAUUUCUUCCUUUCAUUGCACGUAUUCUUUUAAUCCCACACACCAUAUGAUGGCCUUUGGGAUAUGUUGGCAUGAAAGAGGAUGAAGAGUCCUUCUCUUGGAAGGAACUCCACAUCAAAUAUUUGAAGGGACACCCCUUUUGUGCGAUGAAUUUAUGGAAGAGUCCAUAAUGGUAUGGACUCUACAUAUUCCACGCCAAUCCAUCUCCCACGGCCAUAUUAUGGCAUUCAAAUUUUUUCUGAUAGAGGAAGAGUCCUUCUACAAAUGAAAGACUUCAUUUUCCACAUCUUAACCCAUAGGAUUCCAUGCUGAAAAUUAAUUGGAGGCAUGUAAUAAUUAAGGGACGCCAAGAGAUGGUGUCCCAUGGUGUCGCCCAUAUUUUCCUGCAAACAGGGGGCACCACACCUGGUUUUACAUCCCAUUUUGGCUGGAUUUUAGGUGUAAGAAUGAGAGGAUAAAGAUAAGAAAAAGUCUGGAAAGAAUGUAAGAGAAAAGGGAGAGAAAAUGGAAAGGAAGGGAGAAUGAAAUUGGAAAGCAUGUGAUGCUUGUCCAAAUAUCAAGUUGUUCAACUAUUGAACAUCUGACUUAUUUUUGUGUGGUGUGAUACUUUGAAAAAGGAUUCCUAGAGUGUACUAGUGGAGG
This 790-nucleotide long non-coding RNA is filed under the name Elaeis guineensis (African oil palm). Its description in RNAcentral is "long non-coding RNA (EGUI_LNC037064)". Lineage: Eukaryota; Viridiplantae; Streptophyta; Magnoliopsida; Arecales; Arecaceae. The record is from RNAcentral.